This 1063-nucleotide ribosomal RNA is filed under the name uncultured bacterium. RNAcentral describes it as "bacterial SSU rRNA". It matches the Rfam family "Bacterial small subunit ribosomal RNA", at positions 274 to 1360 of the family's 1533-position model. The record is from RNAcentral.
CGAUGACGGUAGCCGCUGAGAGGGCGACCGCACACUGGACUGAGACACGGCCAAGACUCUACGGGAGGCAGCAGUGGGGAAUAUGCACAAUGGCGAAAGCCUGAUGCAGCGACGCCGCGUGGGGGAUGACGGCCUUCGGGUUGUAAACCUCUUUCAGUAGGGAAGAAGCGAAAGUGACGGUACCUGCAGAAGAAGCGCCGGCUAACUACGUGCCAGCAGCCGCGGUAAUACGUAGGGCGCAAGCGUUGUCCGGAAUUAUUGGGCGUAAAGAGCUCGUAGGUGGCUUGUCGCGUCUGCCGUGAAAACCCGAGGCUCAACCUCGGGCGUGCGGUGGGUACGGGCAGGCUAGAGUGUGGUAGGGGAGACUGGAACUCCUGGUGUAGCGGUGAAAUGCGCAGAUAUCAGGAAGAACACCGAUGGCGAAGGCAGGUCUCUGGGCCAUUACUGACACUGAGGAGCGAAAGCAUGGGUAGCGAACAGGAUUAGAUACCCUGGUAGUCCAUGCCGUAAACGUUGGGCACUAGAUGUGGGGGACAUUCCACGUUUUCCGCGUCGUAGCUAACGCAUUAAGUGCCCCGCCUGGGGAGUACGGCCGCAAGGCUAAAACUCAAAGGAAUUGACGGGGGCCCGCACAAGCGGCGGAGCAUGCUGAUUAAUUCGAUGCAACGCGAAGAACCUUACCAAGGCUUGACAUGCACCGGACGGCCGCAGAGAUGUGGCUUUCUUCGGACUGGUGCACAGGUGGUGCAUGGUUGUCGUCAGCUCGUGUCGUGAGAUGUUGGGUUAAGUCCCGCAACGAGCGCAACCCUUGUUCUAUGUUGCCAGCACGUCAUGGUGGGGACUCAUAGGAGACUGCCGGGGUCAACUCGGAGGAAGGUGGGGACGACGUCAAAUCAUCAUGCCCCUUAUGUCUUGGGCUUCAAGCAUGCUACAAUGGUCGGUACAAUGGGUUGCGAAACUGUGAGGUGGAGCGAAUCCCAAAAAGCCGGCCUCAGUUCGGAUUGGGGUCUGCAACUCGACCCCAUGAAGUCGGAGUCGCUAGUAAUCGCAGAUCAGCACGUGC